UCCUCCCCAACACGAACCACUCGUAGGACAUGGUCAGGCGUGCUAGGUGUGCAUCCCAACAGGCCAGGUCUUGGGAGCCAUGGAGAAGUAGGAGCGGAUGAAAACCAUAUGGGGCAGUGGGCGCCAAAGUGGAGCUGUGACUGUGUUUACUCGGUCUCUGUUCAUCGAGUGGGGCUGAUGUAGAUGGGACUGGAGAGGGAGGCAGGGAUGAGGGCAAGAUUCGACGCACCCAUAGAACUCUGUGUAGUGAUAGUUCUUGCUUGGCUUUAUUAGUUUGCAGAGGAAUCGUCCAGGAGCCCUAGCCUGACAAGAAUAUGGCAGAAGUGGACCUGAGCGGCCUGGACAUCCUUCUAAGGAGACAUGAAUAGUCCUCAUGUUUCUGCCUUCUGCAUCGCUGGCUGAGAGUAAGAUACCAAGGAAAACAAAGUCACACAUCAGUCUACUGCCCUCAUGCAAUGGAAAGUGAGCCAGAGAGUCGAGACUCUGAGCAUUGUUGAUGUCACGCAAAAAACAUCUAUCUGGAAGCCGAGGAGACGCCGCUCUCAGUGAGAUAAGUGUCUGGUUUCAUGACGGCUCUCCUCACGCCCAACCUGAGUCCAGGUUAGGAAGCCCAGUACAGUAGGGCUGGGUUUGUAUGAAAAGGUUCCUGACUAGCUGUGGUUACGAGGGAGAAAAGUUUCCUAUUUUCAGUACUUGCUCAUUUCUAUGGCCAGGAACGGUGUCUCCUCUGCAGCGGAAGUUUGGAUUCAGGAGGGUGACUCCAGGUGGUCAGUUGCUUGCUUUCCUCCCAUGUUUUUCUCUCUGUCUCUCUUCUCUAGUACGUUGGCCAACACACACCCUCUAUCUCUCUCUCUGUCCUUGCCUUUCCUCGUGUUGUCUCCCUUCGUAAGACACGGGCAGCCAUGUAAUGUGUGCAUCAACACAGGCUAUGUCUCGGGAGCCAUGGAGAAGUAGGAGGGGACGAAAAUCAUCCAGGGCUGUGACUGUCGGUGUAAUCUCGGUCUCUGUUCGUCGAGCGGGGCCGAGGUAGAUGGGAUUGGAGAGGGAGGCCAGGAGGAGGGCAAGAUUUGAAGCACCAAUAGAGGUUGGUGUAGUGAUGGCUCAUGCUUGGCUUUUGCAGCUGCGCUUCCAGAGGAAUUUUCCAGGACCCCUAUCUCGAGGAGAAACUGGGAGAAGUGCACAUGAGCAGACUGGACAUCCUUGUCAGCCGACAUGAACAGUCCUCAGCUUUCUAACUCCCGCAUAACUGGCUUACCGAGGGAAAAGAAAUCAAACGUCAGAGUUUACUCCCCUCGUCGGAUGGAAAGCGAGCAAGAGCAGUGAGUCUGUGAGCAUUGUAGAUGCAAGUCAGGAGCCGUCCAGUUGGCAGUGGAGCAGUCGCUACCGUCAGUGAGAUAAGUGUGUGAUUUGGUGAGGGUUCUGCGUAGGGCCCCACUGGCUCCAGGUAGGGACGCCCCGUUAGCUG
Non-coding RNA from Chrysemys picta bellii (western painted turtle), 1465 nucleotides. The record is from RefSeq and is a predicted model, not a curated record. Lineage: Eukaryota; Metazoa; Chordata; Testudines; Emydidae.